AUUUCAGCAGUGAGUUCUACUGUUAGACUUCUGUAUCUCUGCGGGCGUUGUUAACUUCGCUUCACACGUUCAGAAAGUCGUUUCCAACUCUGCUACAGGAUCAUUUUACAGAAGACCAGUUUGAACCGAUUAUUCUGAAGAAUCCCGCUGAAAAGAAGCUAAGGCCAUUUGCGACGCCAAACAUCUUUUUUGCAUCGACCAGUAGCAAAGCCACGCUAGCCACCCCUUAAAAGAACAAGAGUGGGCAUUACUGAUGACACCAAAGUCAAGCAAAACACACAGGUCGAUGUCGAACCCAAGCCAGUGGACACUGAGAAUGGCAGAUGUUCCUGACAUGCGACUAGAGCCACAGAUCUCUGCUCCAUUCCCGACAGAAAGUAGGCAGGCUGUUUCGGCGGCCAGUCUAGCCUUCUUCGCAGAAUGUUAGGGAAAUGGCACAAGACACAAAGCGCAGCAGAGGACCACCCACCAAGUUUAGGGGUACGCGGAAAUAAAACAACAAAAGGUAACAAAAAAAAAGAAACCCAGAAACAACUUAAUCAAUCGCUUUGCAGAGUGCUUCUUAGCGGCUGCGCCAAAAUUGUCGAAAGAAGUGCAGGCAAAGAGGCGCCGUAAAUAGGUGGUUUAUUCCUACGUUUUCUUCAUUUGUUAAAUAAAAAUGUCUAUCUGACCUAGUGACGAAAGGGAA
Molecule: long non-coding RNA, 688 nt
Organism: Rhipicephalus microplus (southern cattle tick)
Lineage: Eukaryota; Metazoa; Arthropoda; Arachnida; Ixodida; Ixodidae
Source: RefSeq, a predicted model, not a curated record